UGGCGGACGGGUGAGUAAUGUCUGGGAAACUGCCUGAUGGAGGGGGAUAACUACUGGAAACGGUAGCUAAUACCGCAUAACGUCGCAAGACCAAAGAGGGGGACCUUCGGGCCUCUUGCCAUCGGAUGUGCCCAGAUGGGAUUAGCUAGUAGGUGGGGUAACGGCUCACCUAGGCGACGAUCCCUAGCUGGCCUGAGAGGAUGACCAGCCACACUGGAACUGAGACACGGUCCAGACUCCUACGGGAGGCAGCAUG
Molecule: ribosomal RNA, 256 nt
Filed under: uncultured bacterium
Lineage: Bacteria
Description: partial 16S ribosomal RNA
Rfam family: Bacterial small subunit ribosomal RNA
Source: RNAcentral